Aegilops tauschii subsp. strangulata is the source of this 3634-nucleotide long non-coding RNA. RefSeq lists it as uncharacterized. Lineage: Eukaryota; Viridiplantae; Streptophyta; Magnoliopsida; Poales; Poaceae. The record is from RefSeq and is a predicted model, not a curated record.
AGAACCCCGCACUCUUUAGUAUUCAACCCGCGAUCCUUUCGCACAACGUCCUCUCCGGCCGCUUCCUCUCGAGUCGCGACCGCGAUCGCCGCCGCCGCCGAUCUUCUUCUCCGGCCAUCCGCCGACCUCCUGUUCUCCUUCCCCUUCCCCUUCCCAGCCCGCAACCUCCUCAAUCUCCAACCUCCUACACCCGUGUCGUGCUUCUCUGCUUUGGAUCGAGUUGGCCGGAUCGACCCCAUCGCCGAUGCCAAGGUCGCCGGUCCAUCGUCCUGCUCCACUCGUGUGCGCCCUCGACGCCGACGCCCCCUGGUCCUCUUUGCCGCAGCCGCCGCUGUCGGCCUCCGUCACCACGCGCCCCUUUGAGCACACUGGAUGCAAUCUCACAUGUCGCCGUCGUCCGCACUGUCUAAGACCACCUACAGACACAUAAUGGCGGAUCAAGGUGUUUGAUGAAAUGCCCAACCACACCAACAACGCGAAUUUAGUUCUACAUGGUGGAAUCAACGAGGUAGCAUGACCUUCAGCCUUCUACAAGAGGUCAACUCAGUUCAAAUCAUUUAGCUAUGUGCAGUACUAUUGCCAAUCGUCUAUUUAGAUGCUUUUUACAUCAAAAUGGUGAUUUUAUACUAUUUUUGUAUGUGGUUACGGUGAUGGAUAAGAUAAGAAAACAUGUAGUUCAAAUCGCCAUCAAGCACAUCAGUCCUUUGAAUGUUAAGCACAUCGAAUGUUUUCAGUUCGUGCAUCAGUUGCAAGCAAGCCAGAAACAUUAUGUGUUCUAUUUUUGUAGAUCAGAAUCCUAGACGUGCCAGUUUAUAACAUUCUCCCAGUACCUCUGUUCUGCAUAUAUUUCUCAAACUAAUUCUGCCAUCGAUUAGGAGUGACAUCACCAUGACAUUUCCAAGCUUUGUCUUCCAUGCUCGGGUCUCUGAUACCUGAAAUUCUUAGGAGUUCUUUCGAAAACAGUAGAAGAUAAGCUUGUGGUGACUUUGUGAAGUUUUGGCAUUGGACCGUUUGAAACUUUAGAUUGGCAGAGAGCUAGAGACCCUGGUGCUCUGAAGGAUGUUAAAUUUGAGAACACAAAUUAUUGUUGUUAAAUGAUCUUUGCUUCCUUCAUUUGGAAAAGUUAGCGUUGUGGGGAGUUUGAUGUUGCGGUAGGCCUUGGCAGUGGCGAGCUGGGAGCCGGCGAGGUAGGCGACAUCGUUGACAACGGCCGUCAUGGCCUCCACCUGUGCCCUCUUGCAGGUGGAUUGCUGGUCAUUGAUGUGGCGAGUCGGGUUCUUGCAGCAAAAUCUACGAUAUUCUCUGGAUGAGCUGCAGGUAGGCCAGGCUGUUCACGAGGAUCCGACGACGACCGCCAAGGUAUGCCCUCCUCUCCUUGCCCUUGGUCGGGCAUCUCUGAUCAGGUUGUAAUCUGCUGGUGCAGUGUUGCUCUGCUUUGAUUUGGGAAUUCCUAUGGGAUCUAUUUUUGAUUGGCCAAAGCUGGUUUGUUUGCUGCCGUUUGGUUUAACAUGAUGCUAUAAUGCGCUACGGAGAGAUAUGUUAUUCCAGUACAAGCGGCCGGUCAGUUAAUUUGAGGAUUUUUUGCCUUUUGUUCUUCAGGCCUAUAGUGUGUGGUUUCAGUCCGACAGUUAAAACUUGCAUUGGCUUGUUAAACUUCACGUGACCGGAUCAGUAGGGGAGGAUGAUCGCAUAUGGAAAAUACUGCUCCAUGGUACUAAAAUCUGUUAUAGGUGUAGGAAGUCAAUGCUAGGACCUCCUGGGAUGUGCUCAUGCAUGCUUGGUCUGAACCUUUUCUUUUCAAUCAAUUGAUGAACCGAUGACAUCAGAUUAUGCCGUAUGUAUACUCCACUACGUACGGAUAGCCCGCUCGUCGUAUCUCGACAGAGUGAAAACAACUUUGAUCCAUGGAGACGGAUUUCUUUCCUGUUGGUGCAAUUGUAUGUUCAGGUGGUUCUUUCAGGUCCAUUUUCUCUCUAGCUUCUUGAUGUUUUCCUUCUCUCGUGUAAUUUAGUUGCCAUUUGUAAUAGUCAAAUUUUCAUGUCAAAUAUGACUUGAAGAUUUUCUAUGCCAAUUGACAUGUCAUUUAUUUUCUAAUUAACCUAUUAUUGAUGGUGUCUGAUCUCCUUUCUGACAUAUUCCAAGAAUAAGUUCUCAUGUUCAGUAAAUGCUAUUCGGUUGAUUAUUUUGAAUUAUUGCAUUAGGUUAAUAGGAUGUAAUUGUACUUAAAUCUUCUUUUGCACAGGUAUACAAACAACAGUGUAACAACUCUAGAAAUCUACAUCUUAAUACUGCCCUAUUUUCAGGGAUUCAAAUCUCCGGGCUGGAAUCAACAAGCCCACAUAAUCUUCAGUCUUCCACAAUUAUGUUUUGCUUCAUGUUCUAUGAUCAGGUUAUAAUCUGCUGGUGCGGUGCUGCCCUGCUUUGAUUUGGGGAUUCAUUUGGGAUCUAAUUUUAACCGAACAAAGCUGGUUUGUUGGCUGCCGGCUGGUGUCACCUGAUGGUACUGUGCUACGGAGAGAGAUGUUUUUCCAGCAAUAGAAGUGGCCAGUUAGUUAAGUUGAGGAUUUGUGCCAUCUCUUCUUCAGGCCUGUAGCUUGUGGUUUCAGUCAGAUAGUUAAAGUCGCAUUGUCUUGCAGCAGCGACUGACUGCUGGGUUAACUGUUUGUGGUUUCAGUCGGAUAGUUAAAGUUGCAUUUUCAGUCGGACACAUGUUUUUUGUUUUGCCUGCUUUUUUCUUGACUGCGCACUCUCGCUGUUCGUUGUCGUGCAAUGUUGAAGUUAUUCAUGCGGUGGGGUGGAUGAAAGUUAGUACCAGACUAGCACUUUGGUUGUGCCUGUUUGGUGAUAAAAAGUUGGUGUUACUUGAGAACUUAAUGAUGCCUUUGUUUGAUGCAAAGAAUUUCAUUUUUAAGAAAAGGCUAGGACAUCUAUUGUUGUUUGUAUCUUAGUGUUACAAUGUAAAUCAUUUGUGGUAGCAAACAUGUUAACCAGGGCGCAAGUAUGUGAUUCAUGUUGUAUUGUACUUAAAUCAGUUUUCCUUAGUCCACAGAACUAACUACAUGCUUCAUUUGGUUUUGUGUGUUUUUUUCCCUUUUUUUCUUUGUCACAGUGCUCAAUGCGAGUUCCAAAAUGAGCCAUCUCGAGUCUGAAGUCCAAACCGUGGAACCUCUUUCGGACUAUGAAAAUAUGAGCCGUUGGGCUUCCUUCCAAUCGGUUGGUGCCUCAAGAAGGGUCAAAUAGGGUGGAAGACUGAUUUGAGCUUCGGUUUUGUUGGCAAAUCGAGGGGAGGAGAAAUCAAACUCAUGGAGAAAAAAUUCGACCCUAGACCCCAUGGCCUCGAGUUGUGUGCAUGUGUGGUGCGACAAAUUGGCGCCCAUUAGGCGGCGAUUGGACACUAAGUGGUCAUGCGGGGACAUGUGAGGGACCCAUCCUACCUCAAUGGAAAAAGUCAAUGACACUCAGUGGAACAAGUCCAUGACAUUUGAUGUCAAUUGCGAGAGGUAGUAUGAUGGACGAGUGUAUAGGGUAUAGUUCGGAUCUUGAGCUAUGGUUAUUAUUGGGCUAUGAGCUUGUAUUAUUUUUUCCCCAUUGCAACGCACGGGCAUUUUUCCUAUCAUGCAUAUGUUGCCUUGAA